UAAUAUUUAAUUAUUUAGGUUUUUAUUAUUUAAUUUUUUAGGAAAGUAUUUUUUUUUUAUUAUUUUUUGAACAAAUUAUUUUUAUUAUAGUUUAUUGUACUGUGAAGGAUUUUAUUUAUUAUUUUAGAAGAAAAUUUAAUUUAUUGUACCUUGUGUAUCAGGGCUGUUUAAUAAAGUUUUACGUAUGUAUUUUUCUCGAUUUUGAAGGGGCUAUUUUUAUAUUUAUUUUAUUGUUUUAUAAAUAUUUCUAAUAUAAGAAUUGAAAUGAAACGUUAUUCGUCUUUAAUUGUAUCUAGUUGCUUGAGAAAUUAAUUUAAUUGAGUUUAGAUGAGGAAUGUUUAAAUUGAUUUUGAUAUUUUUUGUUUGACAUUAUAUUUAUAGGGAUAAGCUUGUAUUUAGAUUAUUAUAAAUUUAUUUUUUUUCUUUUAUUUUAGGAUUGGAAUUUUCUAUUUUUUAGUAUAUUAUUAUUAAGGAAGAUUAAUGUAAUAUUUUCUUUGUUUUAGGUUUUUUAUUGAGCUUAUUUUUUUAAUUUGAUAUGAUUUUUAAUUAUGGAUGGAUUAGUAUAUUUUAUGUUUGGAAAAUUUUCUUUUUUAGGUUAAUAAAAGGAACUCGGCAAUUAAGUUUUCACCUGUUUAUUAAAAACAUGUCCUUUUGACUAUGAUUUAAGGUCUGGCCUGCCCACUGAUGAUUUGAAUGGCCGCAGUAUUUUGACUGUGCAAAGGUAGCAUGAUCAUUAGUUUCUUAAUUGGAAGCUGGUAUGAAUGGUUUAAUGAGAAACUUUCUGUCUCUUGUUAAUUAAUUAGAAUUUUAUUUUUAAGUUAAAAAGCUUAAAUGUGGAUUAAAGACGAGAAGACCCUAUAGAGUUUUACUUAUUAGUAGAUUUUUUUUAUAGGUUUAUGAUUAUAUUAUUUAUUAUUAAGUUUUGUUGGGGUGAUAGAAAAAUUUAAUUAACUUUUUUAUUUUAUAAACAAUUUAUAUGAUUAUUUGAUCCUUUAUCAAGAUUAUUAGAUUAAAUUACCUUAGGGAUAACAGCGUAAUUUCUUUUGAGAGUUCUUAUUAAUAAAGGAGUUUGCGACCUCGAUGUUGGAUUAAAAUUAAUUUUUUGUGCAGUAGCUUAUAAGAUUAGGUCUGUUCGACCUUUAAAAUUUUACAUGAUCUGAGUUUAGACCGGCGUGAGCCAGGUUGGUUUUUAUCUUAAUUGAUUUUAUAUGUUUUAGUACGAAAGGACCAGGCAUAGAAAAUAAUUUUUUAUUUUGAAUAGAAUU
Molecule: ribosomal RNA, 1265 nt
Filed under: Crypsis chinensis
Lineage: Eukaryota; Metazoa; Arthropoda; Insecta; Coleoptera; Tenebrionidae
Description: 16S ribosomal RNA
Rfam family: Archaeal large subunit ribosomal RNA (bases 1025-1184)
Source: RNAcentral